This is a long non-coding RNA of Phyllostomus discolor (pale spear-nosed bat), 990 nucleotides long. RefSeq lists it as uncharacterized. The transcript has 2 exons. The record is from RefSeq and is a predicted model, not a curated record. NCBI's taxonomy places the organism in Eukaryota, Metazoa, Chordata, Mammalia, Chiroptera, Phyllostomidae.
AAGCCCCGGGGGGACGGGCUGGGCAGCUCAGAGGUGCCACCUGGGCCACAUCUGGUGGAAGCAGCCUUGGAGGUCCCAGGACCCCACAUCCCUGGAGGGUGGUGUAGGUGACCCCUGUGAGCUAGACAGUCCUGUGACAAUCUGCAUCCCCUUUACAGGUAAGGAGGCUUGUGGAGGAGUGGCUUGCCCUAAGAGAGGGAUUUUAACCGGAAAAGCACACCAGUAGCUGGCCCGGAGGCAGAGAAAAGAGCCACUGGUCAUCACUGGUCACAGGGUGGCCGGUCCUGGGAAGACAGGAGAGAAGUGGCUGUGGGUGGUAAGCUCUGGAAGUUUCCACUCACCAUGCUCGUGGAGUGCAGGCCAGUGCCGGCUGUUUCCAGGAAACACGCGUGCACGGUGAACGGAGCCGGAGAGAAAGGGGUGUACAGCCGAAAUCAGUCCCCAUCCUGCCCAACCCCCAGCUCCCUUCCUGGCACCGGCCACCAGGGCCGGGUUUAGAGCAAGGUGUAGUGGAGGUGACCCUCUUAAAAUGCAAAUGAGCGUUUCUUGUUCUUUUUUUCCUCCUUGAAGGAGCCGGCAGGUUAUUUGUCACAGGCCCUUGCUCUGCCUGGGGGCAGCCCCUUCACGUUUAUGGAAUCAGUCCCCCAACUGGGUGUCUGGGCGCUUUCCAAAGUUCUGCUGUUAUAAACAGUGGUGCGCCGAAUCCCUGGUGCCUUUUCCCUUGUCACCCGUGUGCGCGUUUCUGCCGUGUAAGUUCCUAAAAAUGGAAUCGCUCGGUCAAAGGGUGGGCGCAUCAAACAGCCUGACAGCCCUCCGGCAGCAGGGGCUGCCUCCGGGGCCACAAGGAACUUUAAUGAAUAGCUGCUGCCCUGGCCGGGUAGCUCAGCCGGUUAGAGCAUCGUCCUGAUACAACAAGGCUGUGGGUUCGAUCCCCGGUCAGGGCCCCGUCAAUGAAUCAACUAAGGAAUGAAUAAGUAAGUGGAACAACAA